Molecule: transfer RNA, 90 nt
Organism: Aspergillus terreus NIH2624
Lineage: Eukaryota; Fungi; Ascomycota; Eurotiomycetes; Eurotiales; Aspergillaceae
Rfam family: tRNA
About the family: Transfer RNA (tRNA) molecules are approximately 80 nucleotides in length. Their secondary structure includes four short double-helical elements and three loops (D, anti-codon, and T loops).
Source: Rfam
GCCGGACUAGCUCAAUUGGCAGAGCGCACGAUUAUGGACCUUCGGGUCUGAGGCUCGUGAAGGUUGUGAGUUCGAUUCUCGCGUUCGGUC